Molecule: microRNA precursor, 137 nt
Filed under: Pelobates cultripes (western spadefoot toad)
Lineage: Eukaryota; Metazoa; Chordata; Amphibia; Anura; Pelobatidae
Source: RNAcentral
UUAUUAAGCUUUCCUAAAAAAUCGACGUUUCAGUCCUAUUCAAGGACUUUCAUCAGGAUUAUGUAAACGUGUUUACAUAAUCCUGAUGAAAGUCCUUGAAUAGGACUGAAAUGUCGAUUUUUUAGGAAAGCUUAAUA